AUGCUUGCUGGCGGCUCCGGGCGGGUGGGGAGAUCUGCAGGGUCCCUUUGUUCCCGUCUGGCCAGGACAGUGUCCAGUGGCAUGAGUUGCCAUGGGGACUGCCAUCUGCUGUGUGGAUACCUAUCGGAGGGGCCCAGGCCUGUGGAGCCCAGGCCUCUUGGAGCAUCUUUGGGGCUGACGCAGCGGAGGUUCCGGGCACACGUGGCCACUCCCAGCAGGAGGCUGCCAUGCCCCACAUUCCCGAGGACGAGGAGCCCCCCGGAGAGCCACAGGCAGCCCAGAGCCCUGCCGGCCAACAGGGUCCUCCUACCGCAGGAGUAUCUUGCAGUCCACCUCCCACGAUUGUCCUGACUGGGGAUGCCACUUCACCAGAAGGAGAAACCGACAAAAACCUGGCCAACAGAGUUCACAGUCCCCACAAGAGGCUUUCUCACCGACACUUGAAGGUGUCCACUGCCUCCCUGACAUCUGUGGCGCAUUAGCUUGUGAAAGAAACAGGCCAGAAGCAAGAAUGCACUGGGGGCGCAGACAGCGCUGGAGACCCCACGGGGCACAUCAUUGACCUGG
Molecule: small RNA, 567 nt
Filed under: Pongo abelii (Sumatran orangutan)
Lineage: Eukaryota; Metazoa; Chordata; Mammalia; Primates; Hominidae
Description: processed transcript
Source: RNAcentral